GUGUCAGCAGCCGCGGUAAGACGAACCGUGCGAACGUUGUUCGGAAUCACUGGGCUUAAAGGGCGCGUAGGCGGGCGGUCAAGUCCGGGGUGAAAUCUUUCGGCUCAACCGGAAAAGUGCCUUGGAUACUGCUGCCCUGGAGUGAGGUAGGGGCCGCGGGAACUUCCGGUGGAGCGGUGAAAUGCGUUGAUAUCGGAAGGAACGCCGGUGGCGAAAGCGGCCUUCUGGACAGUAACUGACGCUGAUACUCGAAAGCGUGGGGAGCAAACAGGAUUAGAAACCCCCGUAGUCC
This 292-nucleotide ribosomal RNA is filed under the name uncultured bacterium. RNAcentral describes it as "partial 16S ribosomal RNA". It matches the Rfam family "Bacterial small subunit ribosomal RNA", at positions 505 to 796 of the family's 1533-position model. The record is from RNAcentral.